This 253-nucleotide ribosomal RNA is filed under the name uncultured bacterium. Its description in RNAcentral is "partial 16S ribosomal RNA". It matches the Rfam family "Bacterial small subunit ribosomal RNA", at positions 524 to 776 of the family's 1533-position model. The record is from RNAcentral.
UACGUAGGGGGCAAGCGUUGUCCGGAUUUAUUGGGCGUAAAGAGCGUGUAGGCGGCCAGGUAGGUCUGCUGUGAAAACUCGAGGCUCAACCUCGAGACGUCGGCCGAAACCAUCUGGCUAGAGUCCGGAAGAGGAGAGUGGAAUUCCUGGUGUAGCGGUGAAAUGCGCAGAUAUCAGGAAGAACACCUAUGGCGAAGGCAGCUCUCUGGGACGGUACUGACGCUGAGACGCGAAAGCGUGGGGAGCAAACGGG